GUCCACGUAGCUCAGCAGGAUAGAGCACAGGAUUCCUAAGGUAAAUUGGGGGUUGCGCCCGGAAACGACGCAAUCGAUCUGCUCAAAGUCGGGGAAAGCUUCGCUGGUCUUCCAGCAUGCCAAUCCCGAGCCAAGCUCCGGAGAAAUCCGGUGAAGGUGUAGAGACUGGAUGGGCAGCACCUAAAGGCCGCAAGGUCCACGGUGAAGGGACAGUCCAGACCACGAACGUUCUGCCUGAGAAUUGGUGGAACGGCGGCGAAAGCCGAAGCGGUAUGAAUCCUGGGGUCGGAGGUUCGAAUCCUCUCGUGGACACCA
Molecule: transfer RNA, 315 nt
Filed under: Agrobacterium fabrum
Lineage: Bacteria; Pseudomonadati; Pseudomonadota; Alphaproteobacteria; Hyphomicrobiales; Rhizobiaceae
Description: tRNA-Arg
Source: RNAcentral